Molecule: non-coding RNA, 321 nt
Organism: Coturnix japonica (Japanese quail)
Lineage: Eukaryota; Metazoa; Chordata; Aves; Galliformes; Phasianidae
Source: RefSeq, a predicted model, not a curated record
CCACUCCACACUGCAAAAAUCCUGAAGUCAUUGGACUGUGUCAGAGGACACCAGCAUUUAGCAUAGCUGCUUGGCUGCCCGGCACUGCUUUCUUGCAGACCUUUCUAAACUAAAGGCAGCUCUUCUCCCUCUGAAGCACUAAUUUUGGCUACUGCCAGAAACUGCAUGCUGGUUUUAAGAGACUGACUGCAUCACAGCUUACAUUAAUUUGAGUUCACAGUAUGAACUCAAGUAUGAACGGACAAUUAUUCAAAACACACAUCAUAGUGGAUUCAACUGGACCUGCAAUAGUAAUAAAGGCAAUCCUAUGAAAAAAGCUGA